UACGUAGGGGGCAAGCGUUAUCCGGAUUUACUGGGUGUAAAGGGAGCGUAGACGGCGUUGCAAGUCUGAAGUGAAAGCCCGGGGCUCAACCCCGGGACUGCUUUGGAAACUGUAAUGCUGGAGUGCUGGAGAGGCAAGCGGAAUUCCUAGUGUAGCGGUGAAAUGCGUAGAUAUUAGGAAGAACACCAGUGGCGAAGGCGGCUUGCUGGACAGUAACUGACGUUGAGGCUCGAAAGCGUGGGGAGCAA
RNAcentral lists this ribosomal RNA (248 nucleotides) under uncultured Roseburia sp. RNAcentral's name for it is "partial 16S ribosomal RNA". It matches the Rfam family "Bacterial small subunit ribosomal RNA", at positions 524 to 771 of the family's 1533-position model. The record is from RNAcentral. Lineage: Bacteria; Bacillati; Bacillota; Clostridia; Lachnospirales; Lachnospiraceae.